GCUCCCGCCCAGCGAGCGUUUCUUCUUCUCUUUAUCCCAACGUGGCACCUGAGCGCUCCUGCAGCAAAAUUCUGGAGCCUUGGCUGGAUUCUUGCUGAACUCCAGAACCAUGACUUCGUGAUGAAUUCUUGUGUUGCUGUCCCUGAGAACUGUGUGGCUCUCCUGGAAAAAGGAACUGGUGAAUGUUUGCUUCCCUGACCCAGAAGCCUAAGAAUGUUACAUAUAGCAACCUGGAAGUCUCAGUAGGUCUGGUGCCCUGCGUAAAACUCAGUGCUGGUGUUCACAAGCAGAUCACUCACUGGAUCCAGAUUGACACAGGAGAUUCGAUAUUGUUCUCUGUGCCCUACAGUAGGAUGUUUCCAUUGCAGAGAACUGAAAGAUGAGACGAAAAGUCUGCAUCAUCAAUGGAGUCUUGAGAUAUUUCAGAAACAAUCCAGAGACAAUCUACUUUGGACUAAGUGUCCGGAAGGUAACGUGCGUUUUGCGCCAUUGCCAGGUAAAGGCUGGCUGUCUACGACAUUAUGUGAGGGGAGGGAGAGAAGAUGUGCGUGUGAUGGAAAGACACAUAUAUGCAGAUAUUACAUUCAUUCCAUUUUCAGGCAACUAGUCCCAAGCAUCAAUUUUAUGUCCUUUAUGAAGAGAAUCAAUUAAUUAAAUGGGCGCUAAAGAACGAGUGGUCUUCUUUCCUUCAGGAGAACGGUUUGAUUAAGCGGUUAAGCAAAAAGAGAGCAUAUGGAAUACCUUGGCUUGCACUUCGAUAAUGUCUGGAACAGAAACAGAGGUCCACUUGUAUAAGAGAUCAAGAAAAAUAAUUCUAAAUAUGACAUUUAAAAACAAACAUAAUAAAAAUUCAAUCCUCAACCAAAGAGCCAUAAAAGACAAACAAUAGGGGAAUUAUUUUACUGCUGCUGUUAUAACCAUAAAUUUCAUUUCUUUCAUGGUGAGUCUUGUUCAGUUACAGUGGUUUUCUAGGAAAAAAAAGAAAAAAGAAAGAGUGGCUUUGAGGGCUGGUAAUGAAGAGGAAAGAAGAUACACAAUUUUUAAAGUGUGGAAUUAAUUAUUUUGAAAAAUACUUCAGGAUCAUGAAUUAUCUGAAACAUAUCUGUUACAAAAUCUCAAGCAUUAGGCAUUUGUGUAUCUCUAAAUAUUAUUUUAAUAAUCACUUUGCUUAUGCUGCUUAUUACUUGUGUUCAACCAAAGCUCAGAUAUUGAAAAGUCUCUCAAUAAGAGUGACAUCAUGGGGCUUCCAUAGUUCCUCUUGAUGACUUCCAGUUCAAAUUUUCUCAGUGUAUAAGUGAAAAGAUGCUAUUUCUCACAGUCAGCCCUGCAGACUCAGCCUGGGAUUGCAAAAUCCAGCUGUGUUCCCUUUGCGUCUUAUACUGUCAAUGUAAUGAAAAUGCUCCAUGGCUGAUAACCAUGUUGAUGGUGCGUGAGGUUGGAUAUAUCUAGCUCGUCUCUUCUGUGAAGGAUUUUCUGGCUAUGCUAGCUGAAGAGGAAUAAAGAAAAAAAACGAGAAUUUUUUUUUUUUUGUCAUUGUUUUUAGGUCUGUUUACAUACCAUGGGAGGGAUUAGGAAAGUGAGGAGAUAGGAUGCAAAAAUACAGAACACAAAAUUAUUGAAUAAGAAAAUUCUACUUUUCUGCAGACAUUUGAAUUCUUCUUCAUAUUAUAUAUCCUCCAUGAAGGCAUAGUAAUUGAGGUUCUCUGCACCUUACCAAAGAACAACCCACACACUGUCACUGCUGUGAUAAAGAGAUGAUUUCUGUGGGCAGCAAAAUAUUUAAGAGUUUAAUUUUCAUCUGAUGUCACAAAAUGCAAGUGAUUCAAAAUCAUCCAUGUGCUAAGAGAACAGUUAGUUUUAGAUCACUUGAAAUUUGUUCUCUUUAGAGACAUUUUACUUGCCAAUGUUGUGAUCGUAUAACUCUCAUCUGUCCUGAGCCUUCUAUAAUCAAACCCAUUGUCUCUCCAGGAUCAUUUCUUUCAGCUAUUUUUACCCUCUUCCCGUUUCCUGCCUCUCACCACAAAAAUCUGCCUGCUACUUCUCUCUUAUUCGCUCCAUCACAUCAAGGCAGCAAGCGAGGUAGAAAUAGGAAGAACUUGGGAAAUGGAGUUUAAGGAGUUUACAUGUAAGCGUGAUGCUCAAAUGCAUCAGGGCAGGGAUGCAUAAAUCUGCAUGAGGAUAUAUAUACUGAUAGACUAUAGUCGCCAAGAGAUCAGAGGAUCAGAGGAUGGAUGGAUAGAUAAGAAGAUAGGAAGGAGGUCAGAGGCAUGCUCGUAUAGACAAAUAGUCCACAUGGACUGCAUCUGAAAAGAGCACAAACAUUCCCAGUAAUGGUAACUGCGCCCCCUUCCCUGCCCCUUUCAUCCUUCAGGUUGCCACUCAAAUGCCCAGAAAUACAAGUGCCCCCAACACUCUUACUCUUCACCAUCAGCUCUUUAUUUCCUUCCCCGUCACUCAGCACAAGCUGGAAGGAUCUUGUUUAUUCAUUUGAUGUGUAUAGAUUAGCCUACUAGAAUGCAGUGUCCUUGAGGUUAGGGACAACAGAAUAGGAUCUCAACAUGUAUUCUAAGAGAAGGAGUAAAACGGAGUGUCGAAGAGACAAAAGAUGAGAAUGCUUGAAUUGUGGCCAAAAUAAACAGAGAGGGCUUUUCAAUGAACGGAAAAAACAUAUUCUAUAAUCAGAAGCUGAGAUUUGUGUUGUAAAGUCACAUGGAGACCCAAUCUGAGCACCAUGGACUCAGGAGCUAGUUCUUGCUUCGCCACUGACCAAUAGGGUCUGAGCAGACUUCCUGAAGGGCGAUGCUGGGAGGAAGUGGCAGUCUGUUACUUAGUGUUUGUCAAUACAACAAAAACAUUGUAUUUUAAAGUCAGCCAUGCUUAGAGAGAGAAACGUUUUUUCUUAGGUCUGGAGUUGGUGCUCGUUAUUUGACCUGUUGGUAGAUGAAUGUUCUGGCAGAUGGAGUGCUGGGCAUGGGACAGGCUCUGGGAUGGAAGAUAACUGGUGACUGUGCUGCAUGUGCUCUGAUAGACCAAGGCUCUCCUUCAAAUCCUCAGUGCAUUCAGCCUUCAAGGAAAUGGGCCAUAAACAUUUGAAGAAGGAAAAUCUUUUUUUAAAAAUUUUUAAAUAGGCUUAUAAAAACUCUUGGUGGGGUGUUUCCUUGAGGCACAGUAGGUUAAGUAUCAUUGCUAUCAUUGCAGUGGCUCAGGUCGCUGCUGUGGCACAGGUUCAAACCCUGGGCCA
Non-coding RNA from Sus scrofa (pig), 3241 nucleotides. NCBI's taxonomy places the organism in Eukaryota, Metazoa, Chordata, Mammalia, Artiodactyla, Suidae. The record is from RefSeq and is a predicted model, not a curated record.